AAAUGGAAAAAAAGUCCAUCCUCAUGGAGAAGAAGAUUUAGAGGCUACUGAUUAGGAGUUUCAGUGGAAAGUGGGGUCUGAAGCCAAAUUGCAGAAGUCUGAGGUGUAUGUAUGCAGUAAGUAAAGAGACAGCAGAUAAUGAAUCUUCUUUAGAACACAGAGCAAUUGUUUUCCUUUUUUUUUUUUCAUGGAAGGGAAAGCAAGUGUCUAAUAAACUAUUCUUUAAAAUUACAAUUAUAAUGUUAGUACUUGCAUUAUACAUCGUGUUUAUAUAGUACCAUUAAAGUCAAAUGGCAUUUAAUAUUCACAGCAUAAAAGAUAAAAGUAUCAUAUAGUGAUAUUAGGAGGAAAAAUCCUCCUGGUAUCAUUAGGAGAAAAAUUUCUUCUAAUGGAAAAAACCUCCAUUCCCCAACUUUAGCUUUUUCAGCACCAUCACUUGUGCUCCGUGCCUCACCUCACCAGCCGCAGGAGAACCCAGCUCCUUCUGACGGGCCCUGUCUCCUGCACCACCAGUUGGAAGGCUUCAUUCCCGGCAGCAGACAAGCAAGGCUUGCUCUAGUUCAGCAUAAAUAACUCCUUCUUUUACCCCACAUCCCUUGGAGAUUCCCUACCCCCACUUCUCUACUCUUCUCCACAAAACUUUCCACCUUCUGGCCUCACAUUCUCUCUCGAACAUGCUCUGGUGAAAGCAGUUUUCAUCUUCAUGGCUCAGCUAAAAUGGCUCUUAUCAAAAGCACCAACUACGUUCCUCUGGCCAAAUGCAGCGCUCCAUCUGGGCCCUUUUCUUACUUCCUAAGUGGUAUCUGUGAACGCAUUUGCCAAUCUCCCUUUCUGUAACAUCUAGUACUAACAUCAUGUGACACAUAACAAAAUUUUGGUCAAUGAGAGACUGCAUCUAUGAUGGUGGGCCCAUAAGACAAUAAGAUACCAUAUUUUUACUCUACCUUUCCAUGUUAAGAUACACAAACACCAUUGUGUCACAACUGCACAUGCUGUGCAGGUUUGUAGCCUAGGAGCAAUAGGCUAUACUAGAAGUGUCCAAUCUUUUGGCUUCCCUGGGCCACACUGGAAGAAGGAUUGUCUUGGGUCACACAUAAAAUACACUAACACUAAUGAUAGCUGGUGAGCUAAAAAAAAAAAAAUUGAAAAAAAAUAUGUGUUAAGAAAGUUUACAAGUUUGUGUUGGGCUGCAUUCAAAGCCAUCCUGGGCCACAAGUGGCCUGCAGCCAGCAGGUUGGACAAGCUAGUGCUGUAUCAGGUUUGUGCAAGUUCACUCUUUGAUGUUCACAAAAUGACAAAACCUGUAAAUGAUGAAUUUCUCGGAGUGUGUCCCCAUCGUUAAGUAACGCAUGACUGCAUCGGAAACUUACCCAAGCUAAACUGUAACUCUAAAUCGGCACACCCAAACCUGCUUCUCUCAGUCCAUGUCACCACCGUCCUCCUGGACACUUAAUGCCCCUCUUUCACUCACAAACAUAUUCCACCUAAUAGCAAAUCCCAGCAGCUUAACUGCCAAAAGAAACUCUGAGCCUUCCAUCCCCUGCCGAUUCCUAUUGCUGACACCCCAGUGUAGCAGCAACACCUCCACCCUCAGCAGCUAGGACCACCUUAAAAUAGAGAUAAAAUCUUAUCAUCUCCCAGUUCACAACCCCCCAGAGGCCACCAGUCUAAUUAGGAUGAAACACACCUCCCAUGGCCAACAAGAUGCUAUAUCUAGCGCUUCUCAG
This 1727-nucleotide long non-coding RNA is filed under the name Homo sapiens (human). RNAcentral's name for it is "non-protein coding lnc-EXOC2-12:1". Lineage: Eukaryota; Metazoa; Chordata; Mammalia; Primates; Hominidae. The record is from RNAcentral.